CAAUAGCGUAUAUUAAAGUUGUUGCGGUUAAAAAGCUCGUAGUUGGAUUUCUGCUGAGAACGACCGGUCCGCCCUUUGGGUGUGUAUCUGGCUCUUUCUUGGCAUCUUCUUGGUGAACGUUGCUGCACUUGACUGUGUGGAGCGCUACCCAGGACUUUUACUUUGAGGAAAUUAGAGUGUUUCAAGCAGGCAUACGCCUUGAAUACAUUAGCAUGGAAUAAUAAGAUAGGACCUCGGUUCUAUUUUGUUGGUUUCUAGAGCUGAGGUAAUGAUUAAUAGGGAUAGUUGGGGGCAUUCGUAUUUAACUGUCAGAGGUAAAAUUCUUGGAUUUGUUAAAGACGGACUACUGCGAAAGCAUUUGCCAAGGAUGUUUUCAUUGA
This 380-nucleotide ribosomal RNA is filed under the name uncultured eukaryote. RNAcentral's name for it is "partial 18S ribosomal RNA". It matches the Rfam family "Eukaryotic small subunit ribosomal RNA", at positions 592 to 976 of the family's 1831-position model. The record is from RNAcentral.